RNAcentral lists this transfer RNA (76 nucleotides) under Streptococcus infantarius subsp. infantarius. RNAcentral describes it as "tRNA-Pro". It matches the Rfam family "tRNA". From Rfam's summary of the family: Transfer RNA (tRNA) molecules are approximately 80 nucleotides in length. Their secondary structure includes four short double-helical elements and three loops (D, anti-codon, and T loops). Further hydrogen bonds mediate the characteristic L-shaped molecular structure. tRNAs have two regions of fundamental functional importance: the anti-codon, which is responsible for specific mRNA codon recognition, and the 3' end, to which the tRNAs corresponding amino acid is attached (by aminoacyl-tRNA synthetases). tRNAs cope with the degeneracy of the genetic code in two manners: having more than one tRNA (with a specific anti-codon) for a particular amino acid; and 'wobble' base-pairing, i.e. permitting non-standard base-pairing at the 3rd anti-codon position. The record is from RNAcentral. Lineage: Bacteria; Bacillati; Bacillota; Bacilli; Lactobacillales; Streptococcaceae.
UCGGGAAGUGGCUCAGCUUGGUAGAGCACUUGGUUUGGGACCAAGGGGUCGCAGGUUCGAAUCCUGUCUUCCCGAU